This 481-nucleotide ribosomal RNA is filed under the name uncultured bacterium. RNAcentral's name for it is "partial 16S ribosomal RNA". It matches the Rfam family "Bacterial small subunit ribosomal RNA", at positions 30 to 507 of the family's 1533-position model. The record is from RNAcentral.
UUGAACGCUGGCGGCAUGCCUUACACCUGCAAGUCGAACGGUAACAGGUCUUCGGAUGCUGCCGAGUGGCGAACGGGUGAGUAAUACAUCGGAACGUGCCCGAUCGUGGGGGAUAACGAGGCGAAAGCUUUGCUAAUACCGCAUACGAUCUACGGAUGAAAGCGGGGGAUCUUCGGACCUCGCGCGGACGGAGCGGCCGAUGGCAGAUUAGGUAGUUGGUGGGAUAAAAGCUUACCAAGCCGACGAUCUGUAGCUGGUCUGAGAGGAUGAUCAGCCACACUGGGACUGAGACACGGCCCAGACUCCUACGGGAGGCAGCAGUGGGGAAUUUUGGACAAUGGGCGAAAGCCUGAUCCAGCCAUGCCGCGUGCAGGAUGAAGGCCUUCGGGUUGUAAACUGCUUUUGUACGGAACGAAAAGCCUCUUUCUAAUAAAGAGGGGUCAUGACGGUACCGUAAGAAUAAGCACCGGCUAACUACGUG